Pieris rapae (cabbage white) is the source of this 321-nucleotide long non-coding RNA. RefSeq lists it as uncharacterized. The record is from RefSeq and is a predicted model, not a curated record. Lineage: Eukaryota; Metazoa; Arthropoda; Insecta; Lepidoptera; Pieridae. The transcript is spliced from 2 exons.
GAGAACAGCAAUACCUGUUUCAUCGCCAUCACGAGAUUUGCGAUAACUCUACGGUUUUUGGCAACAGGAGAUUCAUUUAAAAGUUUUAUGUACCUGUUCCGAGUGUUAGAUUUCAACUUUUAUACAAGAGGUGUGUACAGCUAUUAUAGAAGGAUUAAAAUAAUACAUCAAGAUGCCGUCAGGAGUAACAGAAUGGAAACAAGUUGCAAAAGAUUUCGAGGGAAGAAGUUCAAUUUAUCAAUCGAUAUGAUACAUACGUAAUACAGAGAUAUGUACAUUUAUAAUGACUAAAAUAUUUUAUUAAAGAUACUUACGUUAGAA